AGGGCGGGUGGCAGCAGUGGGGAAUAUUGGACAAUGGGCGAAAGCCUGAUCCAGCCAUGCCGCGUGUGUGAAGAAGGCCUUCGGGUUGUAAAGCACUUUCAGUGGGGAAGAAAGCCUUGGGGCUAAUACCCUCGAGGAAGGACAUCACCCACAGAAGAAGCACCGGCUAACUCCGUGCCAGCAGCCGCGGUAAUACGGAGGGUGCGAGCGUUAAUCGGAAUUACUGGGCGUAAAGCGCGCGUAGGCGGUCUGAUAAGCCGGUUGUGAAAGCCCCGGGCUCAACCUGGGAACGGCAUCCGGAACUGUCAGGCUAGAGUGCAGGAGAGGAAGGUAGAAUUCCCGGUGUAGCGGUGAAAUGCGUAGAGAUCGGGAGGAAUACCAGUGGCGAAGGCGGCCUUCUGGACUGACACUGACGCUGAGGUGCGAAAGCGUGGGUAGCAAACAGGAUUAGAUACCCCUGUAGUC
RNAcentral lists this ribosomal RNA (465 nucleotides) under Vreelandella stevensii. RNAcentral describes it as "partial 16S ribosomal RNA". It matches the Rfam family "Bacterial small subunit ribosomal RNA", at positions 341 to 795 of the family's 1533-position model. The record is from RNAcentral. Lineage: Bacteria; Pseudomonadati; Pseudomonadota; Gammaproteobacteria; Oceanospirillales; Halomonadaceae.